This 1520-nucleotide ribosomal RNA is filed under the name Escherichia coli. RNAcentral's name for it is "partial 23S ribosomal RNA". It matches the Rfam family "Bacterial large subunit ribosomal RNA", at positions 1339 to 2839 of the family's 2925-position model. The record is from RNAcentral. Lineage: Bacteria; Pseudomonadati; Pseudomonadota; Gammaproteobacteria; Enterobacterales; Enterobacteriaceae.
GGAAGACCAAGGGUUCCUGUCCAACGUUAAUCGGGGCAGGGUGAGUCGACCCCUAAGGCGAGGCCGAAAGGCGUAGUCGAUGGGAAACAGGUUAAUAUUCCUGUGCUUGGUGUUACUGCGAAGGGGGGACGGAGAAGGCUAUGUUGGCCGGGCGACGGUUGUCCCGGUUUAAGCGUGUAGGCUGGUUUUCCAGGCAAAUCCGGAAAAUCAAGGCUGAGGCGUGAUGACGAGGCACUACGGUGCUGAAGCAACAAAUGCCCUGCUUCCAGGAAAAGCCUCUAAGCAUCAGGUAACAUCAAAUCGUACCCCAAACCGACACAGGUGGUCAGGUAGAGAAUACCAAGGCGCUUGAGAGAACUCGGGUGAAGGAACUAGGCAAAAUGGUGCCGUAACUUCGGGAGAAGGCACGCUGAUAUGUAGGUGAAGUCCCUCGCGGAUGGAGCUGAAAUCAGUCGAAGAUACCAGCUGGCUGCAACUGUUUAUUAAAAACACAGCACUGUGCAAACACGAAAGUGGACGUAUACGGUGUGACGCCUGCCCGGUGCCGGAAGGUUAAUUGAUGGGGUCAGCGCAAGCGAAGCUCUUGAUCGAAGCCCCGGUAAACGGCGGCCGUAACUAUAACGGUCCUAAGGUAGCGAAAUUCCUUGUCGGGUAAGUUCCGACCUGCACGAAUGGCGUAAUGAUGGCCAGGCUGUCUCCACCCGAGACUCAGUGAAAUUGAACUCGCUGUGAAGAUGCAGUGUACCCGCGGCAAGACGGAAAGACCCCGUGAACCUUUACUAUAGCUUGACACUGAACAUUGAGCCUUGAUGUGUAGGAUAGGUGGGAGGCUUUGAAGUGUGGACGCCAGUCUGCAUGGAGCCGACCUUGAAAUACCACCCUUUAAUGUUUGAUGUUCUAACGUGGACCCGUAAUCCGGGUUGCGGACAGUGUCUGGUGGGUAGUUUGACUGGGGCGGUCUCCUCCUAAAGAGUAACGGAGGAGCACGAAGGUUGGCUAAUCCUGGUCGGACAUCAGGAGGUUAGUGCAAUGGCAUAAGCCAGCUUGACUGCGAGCGUGACGGCGCGAGCAGGUGCGAAAGCAGGUCAUAGUGAUCCGGUGGUUCUGAAUGGAAGGGCCAUCGCUCAACGGAUAAAAGGUACUCCGGGGAUAACAGGCUGAUACCGCCCAAGAGUUCAUAUCGACGGCGGUGUUUGGCACCUCGAUGUCGGCUCAUCACAUCCUGGGGCUGAAGUAGGUCCCAAGGGUAUGGCUGUUCGCCAUUUAAAGUGGUACGCGAGCUGGGUUUAGAACGUCGUGAGACAGUUCGGUCCCUAUCUGCCGUGGGCGCUGGAGAACUGAGGGGGGCUGCUCCUAGUACGAGAGGACCGGAGUGGACGCAUCACUGGUGUUCGGGUUGUCAUGCCAAUGGCACUGCCCGGUAGCUAAAUGCGGAAGAGAUAAGUGCUGAAAGCAUCUAAGCACGAAACUUGCCCCGAGAUGAGUUCUCCCUGACUCCUUGAGAGUCCUGAAGGAACGUU